CCGUGCUAGACGGGGAGGUAGCGGAUCCUUGUACUCGCAACCCGCUUUAGCGAGGUGGAAUUCCUGCAUGAGGGCAGCGUUUGUGGAGCGGCUAGGGCUAAUUGUGAUGAGGUCUGGGUCUUACGCAACAGAGCACUUCGAACUGUGUCAGGUCCUGACGGAAGCAGCACUAAGGAGUAAACUCUGUGUGCCGUAAGGUUGCCUAGGUUGAGCAAUGAAUCCUGGAUUCGUCCGGAAGCGUCUGUUCGAGUAAAGGUGCACGG
Molecule: non-coding RNA, 263 nt
Organism: Desulfitobacterium dichloroeliminans LMG P-21439
Lineage: Bacteria; Bacillati; Bacillota; Clostridia; Eubacteriales; Desulfitobacteriaceae
Rfam family: Bacterial large signal recognition particle RNA
About the family: The signal recognition particle (SRP) is a universally conserved ribonucleoprotein involved in the co-translational targeting of proteins to membranes.
Source: Rfam